UCCACAUGAACCCCCAUUUGCUCCGGCCGACAGACCUCUUAAAUCGAGAAUUACAAGGGUUUCUCUUCCACGCUACGUGAAGAGGUCGAGAGAGAGAAGCCACGACGCCCAUCUUGAUGAAGGGCCAUGAGCGGCCGCUGACGUUUCUCAAGUACAACAGGGAGGGAGAUUUGCUCUUCUCCCGUGCCAAGGACCGACCACACGCCGACCGUCUGGUUUGCCGAUAACGGCGAGAGGCUCGGCACCUACCGUGGACACAAUGGCGCCGUAUGGUGCUGCGACGUCUCCCAUGAGCUCUUCUGCGCGGGACAUGCUUUCUCUUUGUUUGGCUGCGAUGUCUUCUGAAGAAAUGUUUUGGAUGUUGCCAAUGUUUCUUUUUCCUGGUUUAUAUAUGUAAAGGUUUCGAUUUUGUUGCUUUUGUUUCAUUGUUUGAACUUGAUAACUAUCAUGGUUGUCGGUCUGUUGUCAUUUAAUCGAGUUUUGGAAGAAAAAUAUGUUUUUGAUGGUUGCAUUUCCACUCGUGGGACCUAAUUAGUGUUUGUUUGCUUGUUUUCUUGAAACUCUAUUGUUCUUGUGCAGCACAUGCUGUCUUUGCAGUUGGUAUUCCUAUCGCUAAAGUAAAUUGUUUAAGAUUUGCUUCUUUGUGAGAAAUCUAAUAUUUCAUCCGAAAGCAAAAAAUUGUGACAAUAUUCCAUUUUGAAGUCAGAAAAAUAUCCAAUGGUUUAUGUCCAUUGAAAAUUUGAGGAACAAAUAUAUCUUGGUGCAUUUGAUUCUGCCUCAAUGUAUUGUUUGUGUCUGUUUCUACAGGAAUUAUUAAAUUAGCAGAAUGGUUGUCUAGGAUAACUAUCUACUUGAGAUCAAGUCUUUUAUCGUUGGAGAUUAUGUAUUUAUGAUUGUGUAAUUGACAUUCUUUUGGUGAUGUAUCUAGGUGAUUCUAUGCGCCUAAUUACAGGAAGUGCAGAUCAGACCGUAAAGCUGUGGAAUGUCCAGACAGGAACUCAACUCUUCUCUUUCAACUUUGAUUGUCCUGCUAAAUCUGUGGAUUUCUCUGUUGCUGAUAAACUUGCUGUAAUCACAAUUGAUCCGUUUAUGGGGUUGCCAUCCACCAUCCAAGUGAAAUGAAUUUCCAGAGAUCCUAAUGAAUAUAGGGACUGUCUAACAUUAUCUCGUUCUACAAUUGAUACGCACCCUGAAGAAAGUCUUCUUUGUUGUCUAUAUAGCUAAAUAUUAUUGACAUCCUAUGUAGUAUUAAGGUAGACUAGAAAAUAGAAGAUAGAACUAUCAGAAUUUAAUAUUAUAGAGAGAACAAGGCAAGAUACAAGAAACCUGCAAAUAUUAGCUGAUUCUAUUCUUAGAUACCAAUAAUUUAUCACAAAUGCAUCGUGCCUUUCUCUGAUACACAAUCCUAAAAGGAUAUAGCCGCUACAGCUCGCCUAUAUGGCUCUUUGUUAUGACUCUUCUGAUCAACUCGAAGUUCAAUAAGACUUUAAAACUUUUAUUAUUAGAGGUUUGGAUCCGAACAUGACCAAGUUGUAGUUCUUACACUUCUUUGAGAACCAAUGGUUAAGUUGCAUGUUUGGUUAUGUUAGUACACAUAUAGAACAAGAAAAUUUUUCGACGAAAGCAGAGAAAGAAAGAUCAAGAUCUGUUCUAUCUUAUCCUUAUAUAUUCAGACCUAUUAGCCUUCCAUGUUCUAUAAUUGACUGUGAUUUGUGCUCUUUUUUAAUAUUAUCAUUAUUAGAUGCUCACCAACAAACUGAUAAUACCAUUAAUUUAUUUUCUGCGAGUGUUUUUCAUUAAUAGUAUUAUCACGGAAACAACCUCUCUAUAUUCUAUAUUUAGAGGCAAGGCUGUGUACAUUGACCCUCUCCUCUCCCGAUCCUGCAUUGGCAAGAGCUUCAUGUAUUGGGUACACCCUGUUUAGUGUUUUCUAUAAACUUUUAGUUGAUUGAAGUAUGAAUGACAAAGUGAUAAAUAAGCAAAAUUUUGAAUUUGGAACCUUCUUAGUGAUAAUUGUUUAGCAUGUUCUGUUGCUACAACUUUUCAGAUCAUUGGGCUCAUCCCAGCUCUGUUACAGUAUUAAUGACGUUGACUGUUCCACCUUUCCACAACUGAGCACUAUCCUUCCUCUGUUGGCUUGUCACAUUAAUUUUAUUUUUCCACUUGCAAUGGCCAUCUGAAAUUGGAAAGUAUAAUAAUGGUACCGUCACAGACAAAGCAGCUUUUAAUGUUAGUAAGUGCUAACAAAGGGGCAGUCCAGCGCACGAGGCUCCCAUGUGUGCAGGAUCUGGUAAGGGGUUGAUAUAUGUAGCUUUCAGUAGGUUGUUGCUAUGACUUCAACUCUGUCAUCCAAGGUCACAAAUGAAUAAAAUUACUGUAGCAUGACUGGCUCCAAGGCUCACCCUCUUUCUCAUGUUAUAUGUGUAUUAUUAUUUCUUAAUAAUGCCUGCUUUUUUUUAUUUCUGAUUAUUCUCUAACAUUGUCAAUUAUUCACUUGUGAAAUGUUUUUUUAUGCAGAGACUAGUGAAUCAGUCCUUACAAUCAAGGGGCCUCAGGGACCUAUAAAUAGGGCUGUUUGGGGACCACUAAACAAGACUAUUAUAAGUGCUGGUGAAGAUGCAGUAAUCCGAGUAUGGGAUACUGAGACUGGUCAGUUCUUGAAGGAAUCUGACAAAGAAACUGGUCAUCAGAAAACAAUUAGCUCACUCUCAAAAUCUGCAGAUGGUUCCCAUUUCUUGACUGGUUCCUUGGAUAAAUCUGCCAAGGUGCCAACCAUUAUCCUUAAUGCUGCUAUAUGAUGCUCACCAUUAUGUUCAGUCUAGGAUUUAUUUAUCUAUCUCUUAUUUUUCCUGAUUUCUUGUUUUCUAACUCUGGGAUAUAAGAACUCUGACACUUGUCAAAACAUAUGUGACGGAGCGUCCUGUCAAUUCUUGCGUGAUUUCUCCACUUCUUGAUCAUGUAUGUAAACAAUUCUCUGUAAAUUUACUUUUUGCUUUGCAAAGCUGCCUUCUACUUGUCAUUGUCAUUAAGUUAUGCUUUCACUUGUGAGCCAAAGCAUGCAUGGCAUUCUGUGUGAAAUUCUCUAGUUAUUUGACAUUGACAAAGAAGCUGGCCCACAAUUGUUAGAGUUUUGCAUAUGUUUUCUAUUUAUAUAUCUAUGAUGUUCUGAAGGUCUGUGUUGUACAUUAUCUUGUGUGUUCCUUGCAUGUGUUUCAUCUAAGUCUUAUCUUGAUGGUUUUCCAUAAGAAGUGUUCUUCAGUGUAGAUGAUUCUUAAAUCAUUUAUCAUAUUUUGUUGAGAUUCUUGAUUUCUCCUGCAAACAAACUUAUUGCUACUUGUUUCUAAAAAGAGGUUGUUUGCAGCUAAUGAUACAACUCCACAAUAUAUGAUGAUGACGAACAAGUAAAUUGUAUGUUUGGUUGACAUUUUCUUGGCACGUAUUCCACUAGCUGGUAAGUAUAGGAUGGAUGUAGUACUAACUAAAACUUAACACCAGUCUCUUAGAAGACACUUUUUAUAGUUGUAUAGCUAGUGUUUUUUUAACCGACUUACCAAAAAAAAAAGUGUUUUUUUAACCUUAUUUAGAUUUUAAUCAUUGUCUUUGUCACCUAAUGUUUUGUUCAAAACAAAAAGAAACUGCUGUAACUUUGAGGGAUAGGCUAAAGUCCACACUAGAUAUAGUAUCUCAAACCUUGAAUAUUGUAAUUGACUGAUAUCAAUUAUGUUUCUCAUGACAUUGGAGCUUCUAUGGUUGACCAUGUGCGGACAGUUUUAACUGACAGCCAUAACAUUUAAUUUAUAAUGAAUUAGGGAAUGCUUGUAUGUAUAGUGUGAUGCUUUGUUUCAACUUCUCAAGUUGGAGUUGGAACCGUACUAUGAAUGGGUUCUUUUGGGGUUUCAACCAAAUAUUUGGAACUAGUUGGGGUUUGCUAAGCAAUAUUUCUAAUGCAGUGGUAAAAGUUGGUUGCAUACCAUAGUCCUUUAUCUUAUUUUACACCAUAGUGGUUAGCUAAUGUAAGGUUUUAUUCUUGAUCCAAUACUAGUUUUGGCAACCAGUUGGAGUGGCACCAUUCUGGUUGUAUUAAGCUUUAUACUGACCUGUUCCACAUGUUAUCAUAAAAAAAUAAUAAAACAAUUUAAAUAUUGGACCUUGGUGGGAUCGGUGAAUACUGAUCAGAAGGUACUGGUCCGACUGGUAUUUGAAACCGUGGUGUCAGGUCUCAAUAGUUUUUUUGUUAUCUGCCAUUUUUUUUUUUUAGUUCUCUCUUUUGUUCUUUUAGGUAGUUAUUGGGGGGGGGGGGUGGGUGCGGGGCAAGAGGCAGUACAUGUCACGACUACUGAUCAUCGUGCUGGAAAAUUUGAGGCAAAAUUCUUUCACAAGAUUCUUCAAGAAGAAAUCGGGGCGUGAAAGGGCAUUUUGGAACCUAUCAAUGCUCUGGCUUUCAACCCUGAUGGGAGAAGUUUCUCGAGUGGUGGUGAAGAUGGCUAUGUAAGACUGCAUCACUUCGAUCCAGACUACUUCAGCAUUAAGAUGUGAACAUGGAAUUAUGAGAUUUGGUGUCAUGCAACCGUGCUAGGGGGAUUUCAGACUUUGUGACUUGUAUGAAUGAUGAAGAGUGGGGACUUCUGUUGUUGGUAACUCUAUAUGGUGCAUUGUAACCUUGGAUUGACCCUGACAUUUGUUUUGCACUACUAAUAUCAUAACAGUAUCAAGACUUUUUUUGGGACAACGAGUUGCUUCUGUAGGUACUACUGUUUAAUCAACAAAUAAAUUUUGUUUAUACCGAGUUUUCAA
Molecule: long non-coding RNA, 4794 nt
Organism: Musa acuminata AAA Group (dessert banana)
Lineage: Eukaryota; Viridiplantae; Streptophyta; Magnoliopsida; Zingiberales; Musaceae
Exons: 5
Source: RefSeq, a predicted model, not a curated record